CAAAAUUUGAUCAGGUCUUGGGGGUUUUUUUUGACUUUUCAUGUUGUAUUUCUGUUAAUUGAAGCUGUGUAGCUUUCAGUUGCUGUAUAAGGUUGAAUUAAUAAUGGAACUUGUGAGGGGCUGUGAUGCUUCUGUUUUAUUGGAUGCUGCUAAAGGGUUGAAAGCUGAGAAAGAUUCUACCCCCAACGAAAGUCAGACGGGGUUUGAUAUAAUUGACAUAAUCAAG
RNAcentral lists this unclassified non-coding RNA (226 nucleotides) under Hevea brasiliensis (rubber tree). Lineage: Eukaryota; Viridiplantae; Streptophyta; Magnoliopsida; Malpighiales; Euphorbiaceae. The record is from RNAcentral.